RNAcentral lists this ribosomal RNA (507 nucleotides) under uncultured bacterium. Its description in RNAcentral is "partial 16S ribosomal RNA". It matches the Rfam family "Bacterial small subunit ribosomal RNA", at positions 30 to 523 of the family's 1533-position model. The record is from RNAcentral.
AUUGAACGCUGGCGGCAGGCCUAACACAUGCAAGUCGAGCGGCAGCGGAAGGAAGCUUGCUUCCUAGCCGGCGAGCGGCGGACGGGUGAGUAAGGUAUGGGGAUCUGGCCGAAGGCGGGGGAUAACCACUGGAAACGGUGGCUAAUACCGCAUAAUCUCUAAGGAGCAAAGUGGGGGACCGUUCAGGCCUCACACCUUCGGAUGAACCCAUACGAAAUUAGCUAGUAGGUGGGGUAAUGGCUCACCUAGGCGACGAUCUCUAGCUGGUCUGAGAGGAUGAUCAGCCACACUGGGACUGAGACACGGCCCAGACUCCUACGGGAGGCAGCAGUGGGGAAUAUUGCACAAUGGGCGCAAGCCUGAUGCAGCCAUGCCGCGUGUAUGAAGAAGGCCUUCGGGUUGUAAAGUACUUUCAGUCGUGAGGAAGGUGUUAAGGUUAAUAACCUUAGCAAUUGACGUUAGCGACAGAAGAAGCACCGGCUAACUCCGUGCCAGCCGCCGCGGUAA